GGGACAACAGUUGGAAACGACUGCUAAUACCGCAUAAUCCCUGAGGGGGAAAGAUUUAUCGCUUUAAGAUUGGCCCGCGGAAGAUUAGGUAGUUGGUGGGGUAAAGGCCUACCAAGCCGACGAUCUAUAGCUGGUCUGAGAGGACGAACAGCCACAUUGGAACUGAGACACGGUCCAGACUCCUACGGGAGGCAGCAGUGAGGAAUAUUGGGCAAUGGAGGAAACUCUGACCCAGCCAUGCCGCGUGAGUGAAGAAGGUUUUCGAAUUGUAAAGCUCUUUCGGAUGGGACGAUGAUGACGGUACCAUCUAAAGAAGCCCCGGCAAACUUCGUGCCAGCAGCCGCGGUAAUACGAAGGGGGCAAGCGUUGUUCGGAAUUACUGGGCGUAAAGGGUGUGUAGGCGGAUUUGUAAGAUAGUGGUGAAAUACCUGAGCUCAACUUAGGAAUUGCCAUUAUAACUAUAGAUCCGGAGUGACAGAGAGGAUAUUGGAAUACCCAGUGUAGAGGUGAAAUUCGUAGAUAUUGGGUAGAACACCAGUGGCGAAGGCGAGUAUCUGGCUGUCAACUGACGCUGAGGCACGAAAGCAUGGGGAUCAAACAGGAUUAGAUACCCUGGUAGUCCAUGCUGUAAACGAUGAAUGCUAGUUGUCGGCAAAAGCCGGUGACGCAG
This 670-nucleotide ribosomal RNA is filed under the name uncultured bacterium. RNAcentral's name for it is "bacterial SSU rRNA". It matches the Rfam family "Bacterial small subunit ribosomal RNA", at positions 140 to 851 of the family's 1533-position model. The record is from RNAcentral.